GAUGAACGCUGGCGGCGUGCCUAAUACAUGCAAGUAGAACGCUGAAGGAAGGAGCUUGCUCUUUCCGGAUGAGCUGCGAACGGGUGAGUAACGCGUAGGUAACCUGCCUGGUAGCGGGGGAUAACUAUUGGAAACGAUAGCUAAUACCGCAUAACAGUAGAUGUUGCAUGACAACUAUUUGAAAGGGGCAAUUGCUCCACUACCAGAUGGACCUGCGUUGUAUUAGCUAGUUGGUGAGGUAACGGCUCACCAAGGCGACGAUACAUAGCCGACCUGAGAGGGUGAUCGGCCACACUGGGACUGAGACACGGCCCAGACUCCUACGGGAGGCAGCAGUAGGGAAUCUUCGGCAAUGGACGGAAGUCUGACCGAGCAACGCCGCGUGAGUGAAGAAGGUUUUCGGAUCGUAAAGCUCUGUUGUAAGAGAAGAACGAGUGUGAGAGUGGAAAGUUCACACUGUGACGGUAUCUUACCAGAAAGGGACGGCUAACUACGUG
Molecule: ribosomal RNA, 497 nt
Filed under: uncultured bacterium
Lineage: Bacteria
Description: partial 16S ribosomal RNA
Rfam family: Bacterial small subunit ribosomal RNA
Source: RNAcentral